AUUACCCAGUCCCCCCCAUGUGCUUCCCCAUUCCUCCCAAUUUGCUCCCAGUGCUCCCUCGCCAGUUCGCCCAUUGCUCCCAGUUCCUCUCAUUGCUCCCAGUUCCCACCAUUGCUCCCAGUUCCCCCCAUUGCUCCCAGUUCCCUCCCAGUGCUCCCAGUUCCAUCCCAGUCCCUCCCAUUGCUCCCAGUUCCAUCCCAGUUUCCCCCCCAUUGCUCCCAGUUCCCCUCCCAUUGCUUACCAAGUUCCCAUCCCAUUGCUCCCCAGUCUCCCCCCAUUGCUCCCAGUUCCCUCCAGUUUGCUCCCAGUUCCCUCCCAUUGCUGCCGCCAGUUCCAUCCCAGUUCCCCCCCCAUUGCUCCCAGUUCCCUCCCAUUGCUCCCAGUUCCCUCCCAUUGCUCCCAGUUCCCCCCCAUUGCUCCCAGUUCCCUCCCAUUGCUCCCAGUUCCCAUUGGGAUGAUCCCCUAUUUACCUCACUUUUGGUCUCCCCCCACACCAGGCCAUUUACCAGCCCUGACCGUGGGCUCCUUUACUCACCUCCUUUGGAAGCUGCUCUGGAUGCUGACAAAGACUUUGUUCACAGGGGUUGGAUGAUCCUGAGAGGGGGAAAACGAGGCGCUAAUGUGGAAUGGAGCUGGGGGGGGGGGAUGUGUGUUAGGGGGGGUUGGGGGACACCAAAGGCUCUGCCUUGCUCCAUAACACAGCCCAAACACAGUGUGACCCCACAAUUAGGCCCUAAUCAAAAGCUUAGACCCCAAUCCCGUACUUGGGCCCCAACCUCACUCUCAGGCCCAAGUCCCACACUUGGGCCCCAACCCCACAUUUAUUCCUUAAUCCCACACUUUGGCCCCACACUCAGGCCCUGCCCCAGGCCCCAACCCCACACUUGGGCCCCAAUCCCACACCUGGGCCCCCAACACAGGCCCCAACCCCACACUUAGGCCCCAACCCCAAACUCAGACCCUAAUCCCACACUUAGGCCUCAUGCUCAGGCCCUGCCCCAGGCCCCAACCCCACAUUGGACCCCCAACCCCACAUUCAGGCCUUGCUUCAGGCCCCAACCCCACACUUGGGCCCUGUCCCAGGCCCCAGACCCACACUUGGGACCCCAACCCCACACUCAGGUCUUGCCCCAACCCCACAUUGGACCCCCAACCCCACAUUCAGGCCUUGCUUCAGGCCCCAACCCCACACUCAGGCCCCCAACCCCACACUUAGGCCCUAAUCCCACCCUUAGACCCCAACCCCACAUUUAGGCCCUAAUCCCACACUUAGGCCCCAUACUCAGGCCCUGUCCCAGGCCCCAACCCCACACUUGGGCCCUAAUCCCACACUUGGGACCCCAACCCCACACUCAGGCCUUGCCUCAAGCCCCAACCCCACACUCAGGCCCCCAACCCCACACUUGGGCCCCAACCCCACACUUAGGCCCUAACCCCACACUUGGACCCCUAACCCCACAUUGGACCCCCAACCCCACACUUAGGCCCUGUCCCAGGCCCCCAACCCCACACUUGGGCCUUUAACCCCACUCCUGGGCCCCCAACCCCACACUCAGGUCCUAAUCCCACCCUUAGACCCCAACCCCACACUUAGGCCUUGCCUCAGGCCCCAACCCCACACUUGGGCCCUGUCCCAGGCCCACAACCCCAUACUUGGACCCCAACCCCACACUUAGGCCCCAACCCCUAAUCCCACUCUUGGCCCCCAACCACAUACUCAGGCCCUGCCCCAACCCCAACCCCAUACUUGGGACCCCAACCCCACAUUCAGGCCCUGUCCCAGGCCCACAACCCCACAAUUGGGACCCCAACCCCACACUUGGGCCCUAAUCCCACACUUGGGCCCCCAACCCCACAUUCAGGCCUUGCUUCAGGCCUCAACCCCACACUCAGGCCCCCAACCCCACACUUGGGUCCCCAACCCCACACUCAGGCCCCA
RNAcentral lists this long non-coding RNA (1939 nucleotides) under Coturnix japonica (Japanese quail). Its description in RNAcentral is "lncRNA (ENSCJPG00005006533.1)". Lineage: Eukaryota; Metazoa; Chordata; Aves; Galliformes; Phasianidae. The record is from RNAcentral.